CGACCGGCGCACGGGUGAGUAACGCGUAUGCAACCUGCCCGAUACCGGGGUAUAGCCCAUGGAAACGUGGAUUAACACCCCAUAGUACUUUUAUCCUGCCUGGGAUGUGAGUUAAAUGUUCAAGGUAUCGGAUGGGCAUGCGUCCUAUUAGUUAGUUGGCGGGGUAACAGCCCACCAAGACGAUGAUAGGUAGGGGUUCUGAGAGGAAGGUCCCCCACAUUGGAACUGAGACACGGUCCAG
Molecule: ribosomal RNA, 241 nt
Filed under: uncultured bacterium
Lineage: Bacteria
Description: partial 16S ribosomal RNA
Rfam family: Bacterial small subunit ribosomal RNA
Source: RNAcentral